UAAGUAAUAUUACCCAAAGAAACUGGCC
This 28-nucleotide small RNA is filed under the name Bombyx mori (domestic silkworm). RNAcentral describes it as "ovarian small RNA-19360". The record is from RNAcentral. Lineage: Eukaryota; Metazoa; Arthropoda; Insecta; Lepidoptera; Bombycidae.